This 75-nucleotide transfer RNA is filed under the name Candidatus Fermentimicrarchaeum limneticum. RNAcentral describes it as "tRNA-Arg". It matches the Rfam family "tRNA". From Rfam's summary of the family: Transfer RNA (tRNA) molecules are approximately 80 nucleotides in length. Lineage: Archaea; Nanobdellati; Microcaldota; Candidatus Fermentimicrarchaeales; Candidatus Fermentimicrarchaeaceae. The record is from RNAcentral.
GGGCCUGUGGCGCAGCCUGGAUAGCGCGGCAGCCUUCUAAGCUGAAGGUCGUGGGUUCAAAUCCCACCAGGCCCG